RNAcentral lists this ribosomal RNA (253 nucleotides) under uncultured bacterium. RNAcentral's name for it is "partial 16S ribosomal RNA". It matches the Rfam family "Bacterial small subunit ribosomal RNA", at positions 524 to 776 of the family's 1533-position model. The record is from RNAcentral.
UACGUAGGGGGCAAGCGUUGUCCGGAAUCAUUGGGCGUAAAGAGCGUGUAGGCGGCCCGAUAAGUCCGCCGUGAAAGUCCAGGGCUCAACCCUGGAAUGCCGGUGGAAACUGUCGGGCUGGAGUCCGGAAGAGGCGAGUGGAAUUCCUGGUGUAGCGGUGAAAUGCGCAGAUAUCAGGAGGAACACCAAUGGCGAAGGCAGCUCGCUGGGACGGUACUGACGCUGAGGCGCGACAGCGUGGGGAGCAAACAGG